This 1437-nucleotide unclassified non-coding RNA is filed under the name Hevea brasiliensis (rubber tree). Lineage: Eukaryota; Viridiplantae; Streptophyta; Magnoliopsida; Malpighiales; Euphorbiaceae. The record is from RNAcentral.
UUGUAGUGGCUCUCACUACUUUUACCUCUCUCUCUCUCUACUUCUCUGGCCCUUUCUCCUCUACUCAUUUCUACCUCUCCCAUCAUCUCCCUAUCUAUCUAUAUAUCUCAAACCCUUCUCACGAUUCCUUCUUUACUUCUCUCUCUCUCAUCUCCCAAAUAUGACUCCUAUUUAUCAUUCUUCUUUUUCUCCUUUUCUUAUAGACCUCAAUGAAGACCAACAACAACAACACAAUCAACUCUUCUUUUCAAAACCUACAGAAGAAGCUGCUUCUUCUUUAUCCUACCCAAUUCUCAUCAACCCAUCUCAAGUUGAUGCAGGUUACUACCAUAGAGAAUUGCAGCCAUUAAUACAGCAUCAAGAAGAGGCUAAUAUUUCUGCUUCUCGUGGUGGGUCAUGGGAUUAUCCAACACUUAAGAACGAGAAUGGCCGCAAGGAAGAAAAUAUAAAUGAAGACAAAAGAGAGAACAAUUCAGUUAAGUGGAUGUCUUCAAAGAUGAGGUUGAUGAGGAAGAUGAUGAGCUCGGAUCAAACAGUUGCCGAUACACGGGAGACUUGUAUGCACAAGUUUGAAGAUGACAAGGGCCGAUCAUUACCUUUACAAGAUGAUAAUAGCAGCCAAAAUUUCUCUAGCAGCAGUAGCAACUCAAUUAGGGUUUGUGCUGACUGUAACACAACUAAGACCCCUCUUUGGAGGAGUGGACCAAGAGGUCCAAAGGUAUAAAACUUUCUCUCUUUCACGACAUAUAUACCCUUAUAUCCUAUUAUAUGAAUUCCCAAGUUCCUUACAAUUACGUUCUGAUGCAGUCACUUUGCAACGCCUGUGGAAUUCGGCAAAGAAAGGCGAGGAGAGCCAUGGCCGCAGCUCAAGCAGCAGGUGCGAAUGGAACAAUUUUUAGUACUGAGACGGCGGGGGCCAUGAAGACCAAGGUGCAAAAUAAAGAGAGAAAAACGAGUAACAGUCAUCUUCCGUUCAAGAAAAGGUGCAAAUUUACAGCGCAAGCUCAAGGCAGAAAGAAGCUUUGUUUUGAGGAGUUAUCAAUAAUCUUGAGCAAGAAUUCAGCUUUUCAUCAACAAGUUUUCCCCCAAGACGAGAAGGAAGCGGCAAUCCUACUUAUGGCUCUAUCUUAUGGCCUUGUUCAUGGUUGAUGAGUUUCCAUAAAACCUUUGUUUAAUUUCCUUCAAUUUUAGAUUAAUUUCUUUGUUUACCUAUAGUAUUAGAGCUAAUCAAGUACCUAGAGUGCAUAUUUCGUGUGAGAGAUUUUUUCUCUAUUAGGGGAAUUGAGGAAGUAUGGAGAUUUUGAGUCUGUUAGGUGAAUGAUAUGUUUUUUAUUCCUGAAUUUCGUAUGUGUGAGAUUGUUUUAUAUAAGAGAGAGAAAUAAAAUCAGGUGUGAGUGUGAAUAACAAAUUUAAAUUUAAUAAAAAGAAUAAUUAAUG